RNAcentral lists this transfer RNA (83 nucleotides) under Actinobacteria bacterium IMCC25003. RNAcentral's name for it is "tRNA-Ser". It matches the Rfam family "tRNA". Rfam says of the family: Transfer RNA (tRNA) molecules are approximately 80 nucleotides in length. RNAcentral also lists the same sequence under 4 other names. Lineage: Bacteria; Bacillati; Actinomycetota. The record is from RNAcentral.
GGAGGACUCGCAUAGCGGCCGAGUGCACCGGUCUUGAAAACCGGCAAGGGAAACCUUCGUGGGUUCAAAUCCCACGUCCUCCG